GAACAUUACCCCACCCAGCUUUCUGUCAGUGAAAUUUAGGAGAGCAUUUUGCUGCAGGAUCAUCAUCCUGAAACUCAAAAGAGUUAAAGCAGACAGUAAAGCUGAAGAUAUUGGGUACAUAGGUAAAGGAAAGAAAGAUUUCUCUUAGGUACAUGAUCUUUCAGAUCUGGCACCUGGACAGACAAGGGAAUCUGGGUAAGGAAUAGAGACAGACUAUGGAUACCAGAGAACAUUAAGAAGUGCUAGGUAAAAAAGGAACAGGAGUUGAGGCUGGUAGGAAAAAGAGAAGACGCUGAAAAAGCAAGGCCAAAGGGGUAGGAAAGCAGAAAAGGAUGGAAGGAGAGGUGCCUGGCUAGCUCAGUUGCUGGAGCAUGUGACUCUUGAUCUUAGGGUCGUGAGUUUGAGCCCCAUGCUAGAGGUAGAGAUUACUUAAGGAAAAAAAAAAUUUUUUUUUUUUAAAGGAUGGAAGGAAAUUCAAGAAAUUUAUCAUUAAACAACAACAGUAACAAAUCCCCUCACAAAUGUCAACUAUUGGAGAUGGGCUAAAAAUGACACAUGGUACAUCUUUUUUUUUUCCUUUUCCAAAUUUUUAUUUAAAUUCUAGUUGACAUAUAGUACAUGGUACAUCCUUAUGAUGUACUAUUUGCUAUUAAAAAUGUUUCUCGGGAUAGGAGGAAGACUUAGUUUUCACUUUGCCUCUUUUAAACUCGUUAAAUGUUAAAGCCUUAUGCAUCAACAUAUCUAAGGGUGCACAUCAGGUUAUUAAGACAGUGUUAGAGGACUCUGAGUUUCUCAAACUUUGAGGAAUAAGUAAAGGAAUAUCACAUCUAAAAACUAAAAAAACGGAAUUUCCCUAAAACCAGAUAGAUAAUUAAAUAAUUUCAAGGGAGUAGCUGAGGAUAUUGUCAGAGGGUAAAGAAAAAGAUCCCUGUGAGAGGUGGCUAUCAGUUCUCUGGACAGACUGAACCCUAACUUAGUCUUCUUUCCACGUUGAGAAGAAAGUUCAACUGAUUUCUUGAGCUUCUGUGUCCAUGUUUUCAUUGCCCAGCUUUAGCAAGAAUCCUGCUAAGUGAGGUUAGCCAAAAGCUGUCACCCUCAGUAUCUGGUCAGGUUCCUCAUCCUGCACCAUCCUCCAAUGAUGACCUAUCACCCUGGCAUGCCUUUAGCAAGAAUCUCUUAUCAUCUCUGAUGUUUCCUACAUAAUAUUCCACCCAGUAACCACCUUUGCUCAUUAGCUGUGAAUUCCCACUAUUCCUUGUUGUAUUCAGAGUUGAGCUCAGUCUUUGUACCCUGCUGCAAAAUCCUAUUGUAGUGGUCCCUACACCUACCGCAAAGGUCCUGGGUAAAGUCGGCCUUCCCAUUCUUUAGCAAGGGUCAUGAAUGAUUUUUUCUUUAACAUCCUGUCAUGGCUGUAAAUCUACCAUGUCAAAAGCUGUCUUACUAAGGUAUACAAAUUUAUGUAUUCACACACACACAGUGUAUAUGUGUAAAGACAGUUAUAAAAAAUCAGUUAACACCUUUUUUCAUAACUAUUGAGGAACUAAUAAUUUUUGUAUGCUCAAAUUUUUUCCCAAAUAUAUAUAUAUAUAAAUUCUUUAUAGUUUAAAUAUGGGACACCUGGAUGGCUUAGCAGUUGAGUGUCUGCCUUUGGCUCAGAUCCUGAUCCUGAGAUCUGGGCUCGAGUCCCGCAUCAGGCUCCCUGCAUGGAGCCUGCUUCUCCCUCUGCCUGUGUCUCUGCCUCUCUGUCUCUGUCUCAUGAAUAUAUAAAAUAAAAUCUUAAAAAAAGAGAAAUUUAUAGUUUAUAUAUAGUUUAACUUGACCCAGUGCCAAAAAGUUCCAUUCAGAUUUGAUGUAAAAGACAUAGAAUCAUGGCUACCACCUUGACAAAUGCCACUGGCCCUGUAAGUGGUGGUGUUUGGAUAAGAAGUCCAGAUGGAAUGAUAAUAUCUGAAGUUGUUCUUGUGCCAAGGAAAAAAAAGGUCGUGCCAAGGUUAGUUCAGGAUUGUAAACAAGGCAAAUAGAAUAGGUUCAUAUUUAUAAAGACCCAUCUAAAAAAUAUCUUUAGGAUAAAAGAAAUAGAAUUAUCUGUAUAAAAUGAUUUUAUCCUUUAUAACUCAUCC
Molecule: long non-coding RNA, 2120 nt
Filed under: Canis lupus familiaris (dog)
Lineage: Eukaryota; Metazoa; Chordata; Mammalia; Carnivora; Canidae
Description: lncRNA (ENSCAFG00805017339.1, ENSCAFG00845021593.1)
Source: RNAcentral